GUGCUGGAGUUGUGCAUAAGCUGAAUAGAAUAUAGGGCAGGAGUGAGAAAUUUCCAAAGGUUGUGAGACUGCAUCAGCCAUAUGUGAAAUAUUUGGGGAUUCAUUUACAUUCUGAUCCUCUGUACUCUCACUAUCCAAAUCCCCCCCCCCCCCAAAAAAAAAACACAUAAAGCAAAGGAUAAUUUAUACCAAUUAUACCAUUCCAUACAUUUAAUAUAUAUAUACCCAUCUUGGCUUGAAACAGGCUUGGAAAGGGGGGCAGAAGGGCAUCACAUUCUUUGGAAGUUUUAAGAAGUGAUUCUGAACAUUUUCCUCUAAUUGUUUAUGAGUGGACCUGUCCCAAAAAUCAUGAAAAUGCCCUUGGGAACAUAAAAAGGCUCUAGUAUACAAAGUGGAUUUGUAACUUUAUCAUGAGCAGUCCCAAUCCCUAGCAUUAAAUCAACAACAUGGAUGUUUUGCCUGUGGUAGCCCAUCAAUCAAUAGAAAAAGUGAAUGGGAGGUUGAUUGGGGAAGAUGGAAAUCACCUGUCAACCAAUCAGAAGUGGAUACAAAUGGACAAGCGCUCUUUUUUCUGUUGUGAGAAAGUGAGAAAGAGUAGCAGGGGACUAGGAACAAUUCAAAGUUUUUCUUCCAGCCACUUAAGAAAAUGUGGGGAUGUUUGUUUACCCAUAUCUGAUAUUCAGAGGCGGUGUCUUCUCCCUGACAAGGUAAGCUCAUUUAUGAAUAUUUUCAGCAUCUGUUGCCCUUGACAGGCAUGGCUGUAACACAUAGGUAUAUGUUUUAAGGAAGGUGAGCUAGUUUGUUGUGAAGUCAUGAACUUGAAGGGUUUUUAACAUUUGCCCUGACUAGAUCCUACAAACAUGGGCUUCUGCAAGUUUUCCAGACAUGUGUGGUGUGGCCUACAGUUGAAGAUGCUGCAGAACUAGGUGUUUUUGCUCUAAGAAGGUGUAGUGGAGGGGAUCUCUAGCUUUACCAAUAAUGUACAAGAGUGAUGUCGGGUUUUGAGUGUGUCAUAGAGAGGCAUUAAUUGAGAAUCUCUUUAUUAUCUGCUGCUGUUAGUUUUCUCCAUUCUCAGCAGCACAUGUAGCUAAAGCUACUGCCCACUGUGAAGUCUGCAGAUUGUAAAUUGUGGGAUGUUUUGCCCAGGGACAGCAAUUGCUGGAGCUAGUCUAUUUGUUGUGGCAGUGACCAACACCAUCAAACCCAUGAAGCAGAUUAAGAAAGCACUCCACUGCAUGGUUAUGAAUCUCUGAGAUGCAAUGCAAUGAAGGAGAUCUUCGUACGCAUGAAGUUGUUAGACUACGUUAACACACUGAGUACAAAGGAUAAUAGGAUUGCAGAAAAUAUACCUUGAACUCUGGUAGAGUGUGGCACCAGGUGUAGACUCAUGCAUUUAAUGUUAGUGCAAAUGGUGCUAUCUUUGUAUUAUGUUUUGCCUACACUCCCAUAUUGAGAGAAAAAAGCAGAUUAUAAUAAAUAAGUAAACAAAGUAACAUGACAUUUCUAGGUAUUUUUCUCGUGAUUGAGCUUUUUUCUUAUAUUCAGAAAGGAAAAGUUGUGCUGCUUUGUCUUUUGCUUUCCAAGUUCCAAAAACUAGUUUUUUGUUUUCCUGACAAAUCUGUCAGAAGAAAAGUUUAAGUCUGAUGUAACAGUCCCAGUUCUUCAAUUGCUCCCUGUCCUUUAAAAAUCCUGGAUAAAGAUGAACUCAAAACUAUUUUGUUUGUGUACUGUGAUGGGAAUUUGGUGAAACAACCAUAUACUGUGGUCUGAAUCUUAUUCUUAAUUUCUUGACCCACUACACAGCUGGAGUGUAUCUUUGUAUUAAUCUACAAUCCAACAAUUGACUGCAUGAGUCUAUUCUUUUUAUGACCAACAAAAUACAGGUCUGUAUCUAUUCAUAUGAGAGGAGAUUUUACCGAUAACAAAACAUAUUAAUCUCUCCACAUUUGUAAAAUUGAAUAACUUGGGCCUGAAUCCUUUCUACAACAUUUUUUUUUCAUUGUUGUUGUCCAGAUAAUGUAAAGUGCACUGGUGCUUGAAAUUCUGAGAUUUAUCCAAGCCUGAAUGGGUUGCAACUGUGAUAUGUCCACUAUUUUCCGUAGGAGAACAUGGGAGAGACAGUUUUAAAAAAGAAUUAAAAGUACUAUUGUUCAAGCUUGGCUUAAAAGUGGGUUUUAAAUCUCAAAAGGGUGGAGAAGGCAUGUUGUGGAAACAUGGGAGAGGACCUUCUCUGUGGCUGGUCCUACACUCUGGAACUCCCUUCCAAAACUGGCUCCCUUUUACGGUCAAGAUUUUUCUAUUCCUGCAGACAUUUCAGAACUGCUUGUUUUAUAUCACUGGUUUUCUGUUUUAGUGCUAUACUAUUAUUGAUCUAAUUCUUAUAUCCUUCUAUAGUUAGGCUUUGUUUUAAUCUUAACUUUUGGUAUGUUUUCAUUUUAAGCAGCAGGCCGGUGGAAUAUUAAUAUUGAUUCUAAAGGAUGGGAUGAUCCAAAAAAGACUACCUUUAACUUGGCCUGUUUACUGGAACCAAAUCUGUCUUGAAUUUCAAAUAGAAAAACAACUUAGAUUUUGCAUAAAUAAAAGAUUUUCACAUAGAAAAUUAGGAUAUUAAUCUUCAACACUAUUUACACAUGUUUCAAUUGAAGUUAGCAUAAUAUGGUGGUUAGAGUGUUGGAUAAGAACUUGAGAACUGAUGGUUCAAGUCUUCAGUGGAGCUGGGUGAUCUAAGAGCUCUUCCAAAUAGGCCCUAUAUCUGAGGAUCUGAUCCCAGAUUUUCUGCUUUAAACUGGAUUAUAUGGGUUCGCAGAUAAACAGAAUACCUGGGAUCAGAUCCUGGUAUAUAGGUCUUGCCUGGAAGGGCCCUGAGCCAGUCAUUCUCUCUCAGACUGAUCUAUUUCAAAAGAUUUUUGUGAAGAGAGAGGGGGGGGGAGGAGAGGCCUGUGUGCCACCUUAACCUUAUUGGAAGAAAAGCAUGUAAAUGUAACUAGUAAACUCUCAAUAUAAGUACUCUAAUUUAACGUUUUGUUAGCUGUUCUGAGAGCUGUAGUGCAAUUCUACUCAAAGUGGUGGACUAUGGACCAUAAUCUAUCUGUGAGCCAUUGGCUGCUCUUCUCUGGUGAGUUCCCAAGGGGAAAAAAAAGAAAUAUUUGUAAACAGUGGGCACAAAUACAGAACCUGUUCCUGGCACAUAGGAAAAGAAAAUGGCUAGCUUCCUACAUCAGAUGGUUUGAGAUACACUACUCUAUUGUGUACAUAUUGUGCCUACAAGAUGUUUCUCAUCAAUUUCAGUGUGAAUUUGAUAAUCUACAUACUCAUGGAGAGUUAGUGUAGUGGUUCAGGUGUUUGACUACAAUCCCAAAUAACACUGCCAAAUAACAUCCAGAUUAUCUGCUUUGAACUGGAUUAUGUGGCAGUGUAGAAUCAUAUAAUCCAAUUGAAAGCAGUCUGCAUUAUUUGCUUUGAUAAUGUGGAUUAUAGGAGCCCCGGUUGCAAAGUGUGUUAAAGUGCUGAGCUGCUGAACUUGCAGACCAAAAGGUCCCAGGUUCAAACUCCGGGAGCGACCGCUGUUAGCUCCAGCUUCUGCCAACCUAGCAGUUCGAAAACAUGCCAAUGUGAAUAGAUCAAUAGGUACCGCUCUGUUGGGAAGGUAGUGGCGCUCCAUGCAGUCAUGCCGGCCACAUGACCUUGGAGGUGUCUACGGACAACGGCGGCUCUUUGCCUUAGAAAUGGAGAUGAGCACCAACCCCCAGAGUCAGACAUGACUGGACUUAACGGCAGAGGAAACUUUUACCUUUAAUGUGGAUUAUAUGGUCAGCUGUGGAAACCUUUUGCGGGACUUCAGAGGAAAACAAUGGCAAACCUCCUGUGAACAAAUCUUGCAAAAAAAAAUUCGUGUCAGGAGCAACCUGGGUCGCUUCUGGGGUGAGAGAAUUGGCCAUCUGCAAGGAAGUAAAGGAUCUUGCAAAUAAAACCCCUUAGGGUCACCAUAAAUUGGAAAUGACUUGAAAGUACAGAAUAACAAACUCGCUCAAAAGUUCUGUACAUGAUUUCAGAUCUCUUCAAAUCUUUGCAACAGUUCGUAAUGAACAGGAGUGAAAGACAGGAGCUAUUUCGUCUAUUAUGCUCAAAUAGAGCCAGAAGGUUUGUUUUCAUUUCUUUUUAGUGUAUAAAUGAAGCUUUAAUUAGCAUUUUAACAUUACAUUCAUUCCAUUUGAAAACAUUCGAUUUAUAUGCAAAUUAAAUCCUCCCCUUGGAUAGUUAGCAGAUUAAAAUAGCUGAUAGGGGACUGCAGGUUGCUCUGGUAUGGAACAACUACAAUCAUCUUGUUUAUUAGCUUCCACAUUUCUGAUGCUUUGCUUCAGUCUUACAAACAAAGCUGCAUUAAACCUACAUAGCCUCUUCCAUGUAAGACUCACUAGCUCUAAAAAAAAAAGAAGAUGAAAGUUGCCUCCAACAGCUUUGUAACUGCAUGGUGGCAAUUGUUUAUCGCCUCUGACCUCUUAGUAAAUCCAUCAUUA
RNAcentral lists this long non-coding RNA (4517 nucleotides) under Anolis carolinensis (green anole). RNAcentral's name for it is "lncRNA (ENSACAG00000038359.1)". Lineage: Eukaryota; Metazoa; Chordata; Lepidosauria; Squamata; Anolidae. The record is from RNAcentral.